GAUGAACGCUGACAGAAUGCUUAACACAUGCAAGUCUACUUGAAUUUGGGUUUUUAACUUAGAUUUGGGUGGCGGACGGGUGAGUAACGCGUAAAGAACUUGCCUCACAGCUAGGGACAACAUUUAGAAAUGAAUGCUAAUACCUAAUAUUAUGAUAAUAGGGCAUCCUAUAAUUAUGAAAGCUAUAUGCGCUGUGAGAGAGCUUUGCGUCCCAUUAGCUAGUUGGAGAGGUAACAGCUCACCAAGGCGAUGAUGGGUAGCCGGCCUGAGAGGGUGAUCGGCCACAAGGGGACUGAGACACGGCCCUUACUCCUACGGGAGGCAGCAGUGGGGAAUAUUGGACAAUGGACCGAGAGUCUGAUCCAGCAAUUCUGUGUGCACGAUGAAGUUUUUCGGAAUGUAAAGUGCUUUCAGUUGGGAAGAAAGAAAUGACGGUACCAACAGAAGAAGUGACGGCUAAAUACGUGCCAGCAGCCGCGGUAAUACGUAUGUCACGAGCGUUAUCCGGAUUUAUUGGGCGUAAAGCGCGUCUAGGUGGUUAUAUAAGUCUGAUGUGAAAAUGCAGGGCUCAACUCUGUAUUGCGUUGGAAACUGUAUAACUAGAGUACUGGAGAGGUAAGCGGAACUACAAGUGUAGAGGUGAAAUUCGUAGAUAUUUGUAGGAAUGCCGAUGGGGAAGCCAGCUUACUGGACAGAUACUGACGCUGAAGCGCGAAAGCGUGGGUAGCAAACAGG
This 735-nucleotide ribosomal RNA is filed under the name uncultured Fusobacterium sp. RNAcentral describes it as "bacterial SSU rRNA". It matches the Rfam family "Bacterial small subunit ribosomal RNA", at positions 28 to 776 of the family's 1533-position model. Lineage: Bacteria; Fusobacteriati; Fusobacteriota; Fusobacteriia; Fusobacteriales; Fusobacteriaceae. The record is from RNAcentral.